Long non-coding RNA from Equus quagga, 4645 nucleotides. RefSeq lists it as uncharacterized. Lineage: Eukaryota; Metazoa; Chordata; Mammalia; Perissodactyla; Equidae. The record is from RefSeq and is a predicted model, not a curated record. The transcript is spliced from 3 exons.
UGGUUCUCACUACAGCCGGGAAACCUGCCUGGGAAGCUGCCUUGCAGCCACAGAGCUGGGCCACACAGAUGGAAGCUCCUCAGGAGCCGGGGCCAGGCUCUGCAGGUGUGUGGGAGCAUCCUGUGGUCCUCUGGAUCCUUGCAGACCGGGGAGGCUCAAGUCUGGUCCUAGUUUAGGAAUGACCUCGGUGGCUGGUCAGUAGAAGCUCUGUGAAGACCUCACAGCCUGUUUCAUUGCUGGCCCCAGGCCUUGCUUUGAGCUUCCUUGUGACCAGUGAAAUCAGAAGCAGCUUUGGGAUUUCUGGCUGGACCAAGUGCGCCAGGUCACAGGUACCUGAGGCCCAGGGAGGUUUGUCAGAGCAGUUGCUAUUUCAAAGUGACGAAUGAAUUAAAAGUCACUGACCUCCCUCUGUCUGUAGCCCUGCAUGCUGUCCCACCCCACAUGCACCAGGAUGGUAAUGGCAACAUCUCACUGCAGGGCUCAGGAUCUGCAGUGGCAUGGGGUGGGGUAGCUGUGUCUGCCCAGAGGGAGGCCUGGCCUGGAAUGGCUCCUCAGAUUACAACCCCAGAUACCAGGCAGGACAGACUCCGCACUGGCAGACUGUCCUAGAUUCUCUGCCUCAGCUCUGGGAUCCGCCGUGGUGCACCCUGGGUCUGGCCCUCCCUCCCACUUGCUGGUCUGAGAGCACAUGCCAGGUGCAGCCCACGGACUGAGAAGCUGACGUCAAGGUCCUCCUGGCAUGUACAGAGGUGUCUGCAACCAGAUGCUGAGGCUGGAGGAGGAAGCUGCCCUGUCCUAGUGGACAAGACAGAAGGCCCGAGGUGGCCCCCGGGGAACCAUCUUACCUGACGUCAUUUGGACCCAUGCGGUGGGCGUGUUCGGUGUCUAGGAUUGUCUUGAAGCCCAUGUUUCUGUCCUAGCAAAGCACCAGGCAUAAUGUCCACACAGGCAGUGGCAGGGCCUGGAGGUCAGGCCUGGAGGGGAGGCCAUCCAUCUCCACAUGAGGUUGCAUCCAGUGUCCCAGCAGGGCCGCCCAGGCUCUGGGAGGGAGAAGGGCCAAGAGGCCUACAAAAGGGCCAGCGGAGCACAGGUAGGUCCCAGCAGCCCUUGCCCAGCUGGGCCUGAGUGUCUGCGGCCGUGCAGUCAGGUGGCCUUAGGGCCAGACAGCCGUGCAGCCAUGUCGGUCAAGUGAUCAGGUAGGUCAGAUGGCCAUGUGGUCAGGGGGCCAUGCAGAUAUGUGGUCAUGCAGCCACGCAGUCAUCACUAAUAGUUUGAGGGUGGGUGUUCCCGCGGGAGGCCUCGGCAGGCUUUGUGUCCCCAUGGUAUGGGGUACAGUGGGCACCUGGUUGAUGCAUCCCUCCUGAGGGACAGGCCAGGGGCACGGAGGGUGGGGCAGAGCCUGAGGACCCUGGGCCGGGGGGGUGGGGGUCACAGGGCAAAGGUUUGCUCCCGUGCUGGGGCUGAGCUGACCCUGGGCCUUGAGCCCUCCCUUCCUUUAGUCCAAGCCAUUGCAGGGCCUUUGUACCUGGUGUCCCUCUGUCUCCCAGAUCUCUGCUCUGGGCUCCUGUUUGGGCCUCCUUGGGGAGCCUCUUUGGGCCCCUGUUGUCAUUGCCUGCCACAUCAUCUUUGCAUCCCAGCAGCCACCACUCUGCUGUGCCUGACGUCAGUGUCUGACAUCCGUGCUGGCUUGUGUGCUGUCUGUCUGUACAACCUAGAGUGUGGGCCCAUGGAGCAGUCCUGGUGGCCAAGGGUACUGCAUGCCACAAGAAUCUGUGGCCACAUGUUUCCCGAGACAGAACAAAAUAAUUUUUGUACACUUACAAGGCUCAGAAAGAAAAGACAAUGAAACUCAGCAAAAAGAGAGAAGAGGAAAGGCCGGCCAGCACCGCGGGCAGCCGACCCUGCAGGGCGGGCUGCCGCCGCCGCCACACGCGGACAUCUAGCUAGAAGAGCGGGUGUGGCUUGCGUGUGAGGGGUCAUGCAAAAGAACUAUCCCCCAGAAAAAAAUCCCCAAAUUAUCCCAGACAGGCAGCUUCGUGGAGAUACCAGGUGGGGGAGAGGAGGGGAGGAGGCCCCAGGAGGGGAGGGUGGCCAGGCCACACGCUGUCCACGGUGAGCCCUGCCGCUGCCCAAGGCCCAGGGAGCCUGGCGGAUGUUUACCCUGUGUCCAUGGGUGGGGACAGCUGUCCUGAGCACAGCUGUGAAUGGGCAGGUGAGUGUCUGUCAAUGAACAGUCCCCUUGGAGAUCAGCAUCCUGUGUCCUGCUCCCCACUCUGUGCCCUCCCUUGGCUUGAUUUGUGGGAGAAGAUAAAGAAAAUCCUUGUUGAAAACAAUAUGAAUUGAAGAGGGACAGGUGUUGGGAGAGGGCCCCCACAUUGUGGUUGCGGCCCCUGGCAACCCCCAACCAUAACGCAGCAGGCCAGGCCAGACCCACCCCACCCCAGCCGAUGGCCCUCUGCUCUCUCUGCCACCAUCUGACCAUGCAGCCUGUCCCCGAGCAUGGCCAUCGUGUCCACCACCAGCACGCAGGGGGACCCCGAGGUGAGCCCAGCCCGCCGUCUCCACAUCUCGGGGUCGCCGUCACACACUGCAGCCUCCUCGAGCCCAGUGCGGCCCUCCUUCCCUUCUGCUCCAGGCCCAGACUCUGAAAGCAAACACCUGCCUGGACCCCCACCUCGGCCAGGAGCCAGGGAGCCACCUGUCUGCCUUCUGCCUCCUCUCUCCUUUCUGCGUCAUGACCAAGCCCAGAGCCCUGGGGACUCGAGGCCCACGCCGCUCUGUGGCCUCACAGGCGGGGGGAAGGCGGGCAGAGAGGGAGAGGCACCCUGAACGGGAGGGAGGCCAGCCCAGGGUCCCCUCCCCACGGGCUGCAGCCAAAGGUGUCUCCUCAGCACGUCUCUUGCCAGGUGUGAGGUCUGAGAGGAUGUGUCCUCUCUGCACCUCCCUGACCCCGGAAGGACCAGAGCUGGAGCCCUGGGCCCACGGAGGCUUCUCGGAGGGCUCGCCGUCCUCCUCACACUGCUCCUCCAUGCUGGGGGCGCCAGAACCCCAGCGCCGGAGGAACGCAUGCCUCCGCCCUCCUGGAGGAAAGGAAGGGAAGCAGGGGAGACGACAGCGACUCAGGCCCCCUGCGGCCCCACAGCCUCCCCAGAGGACACCUGACGCUGCUGACAGCGAGCCACGCACGCAGGGCAGGGAGGAUGCGAUGCCUCGGGGGCAGCGCCACCAACAAACACUGUUCCACGGGCGACAGGCCGCUGUGGACAAGUUCACUGCCCCGGCCAGUCCCGGGGCCAGGAGCAGGCAGACACGCGGAGCUUGGGCAGGGAGCGGCCGGUCGGUUUGAAGCCCCACAAAUGCCAGUGAUUUUUACACCUUUUUCCUUUGUUUUUUUUUCUGUUUCAUCCAACAUCAAUUUUUUGUGUGUGGUUGUCGUUGUCGUCUUGUUUUUAAAAAGAAAUCACAUCUGGUCUUGGUUUUCUGCAGACACAGGCACCAGGGGAGGAACGAGGCAGACACAAACAUGCGACAGGCAGGCCGUGCGCCCGAGGGCAGCUGGGCUCCAAACAUCGAGUCUGUCCCGCGAAACCAGCAGCAGCUGUGAAACGGGGCGGGCGCAAGCGUGGAAUCAGCUGCCCGUGCAGCUGCUCCCUCAGACCCCAGGAGACCCUGGGGCCCUGGCCCCGGCACCCAGACUGUCCAGCUCAGAAUGCCCCCUCCAAGGCCACCAACAGCUCCCACAGGUCCAAGUCCAACAAGCUUCUGUCUUAUCAGUCUUAAAUAACACGUCUUUACAUGAUAGAAAUACUCCAUCCACAGUACAAAAUGUCUGGAAAACGCAGAAAGAGGAGGCAAAGCCUGCCACAACCCACCUGCGCCCCCAAGUCCCGGGGCCGUGUCCCAGGCCCUCUACAGCUGCGACACUGUGACAAGCCUCCCUGGCACCUGCACACCUGGCUCUGCUCCCGUAGCCUUCGAACACCCAACAGCUCUCCAGGGAGAGGGCUACUAAGGGCUGCUCUCAAAGCAGAGGGGGAUCAGGGCUGCAGGUGCAGCCUCCGCGCGAGGGCCGAGGGCCGGGGAGCAGGGAGCGCAACAGUCUUGAGCCUCACCCCUCUCUCCCUGGACGCCCGCAGCCUGCUGGCCUCCCGCUCCCUCUGGUCUCCACCUGUCUGCAGUCCUGGCCCCCAUGCUGGCCCUCCAGCAUCACUGCCCAUCCCGCACCCUCUGCCCCGGCCUCCUCUGGGCUCCUGCCGACUUGGCCUCUGUGCCUAGACAGGCUGGCCCCAGGGUGUUUGCCCGGGGGCCCCCUCUGUCUCUUUAACUACAAUUUAUUUUCACGCGAAAUAUCUGAAACCUAUGGAAGAAGUAGAGAGAAUAAUACAGCCCACACCCUGCUGGUGGAAAUCGGUAUGAUUUUCAUCUUUACUGUAGAUGUUUUUCAAAGAAAUAAAACCUAACUUAUAGUUGCAGAUGCGUGUCCCCCUAAAUCUGUUCUCAUUCACUCUCCCCAGAGAAGGGCUGUCCUGAGUUGCGUGCUUAACUACUUCCGUGCAGAAAUAUACACACCCGAGCGCGCGCACACACACACAUAUCAUGGUGAUUUCUUAAAGCAAUAAUGUGCCUGUGGCAAAACUGAGACCCA